UUAAGUUAAUAAGGGCGCACGGUGGAUGCCUUGGCACUAGAAGCCGAUGAAGGACGUGACUAACGACGAAAUGCUUUGGGGAGUUGUAAGUAAACAUUGAUCCAGAGAUGUCCGAAUGGGGGAACCCGGCAUGUGAAGCAUGUCACUCAUUACUGUUAAGGUAAUGAAGAGGAAGACGCAGUGAACUGAAACAUCUAAGUAGCUGCAGGAAGAGAAAGCAAACGCGAUUGCCUUAGUAGCGGCGAGCGAAACGGCAAGAGGGCAAACCGAUGUGUUUACACAUCGGGGUUGUAGGACUGCGUUGUGGGACGCAAGAUUAUAGAAGAAUUACCUGGGAAGGUAAGCCAAAGAGAGUAAUAGCCUCGUAAUCGAAAUAAUCUUAAACCCUAGCAGUAUCCUGAGUACGGCGAGACACGAGAAAUCUCGUCGGAAUCCGGGAGGACCAUCUCCCAACCCUAAAUACUCUCUAGUGACCGAUAGUGAACCAGUACCGUGAGGGAAAGGUGAAAAGCACCCCGGGAGGGGAGUGAAAUAGAACCUGAAACCGUGUGCCUACAACAAGUUCGAGCCCGUUAAUGGGUGAGAGCGUGCCUUUUGUAGAAUGAACCGGCGAGUUACGAUAUGAUGCGAGGUUAAGUUGAAGAGACGGAGCCGUAGGGAAACCGAGUCUUAAUAGGGCGCUUUAGUAUCAUGUCGUAGACCCGAAACCAUGUGACCUACCCAUGAGCAGGGUGAAGGUGAGGUAAAACUCACUGGAGGCCCGAACCAGGGCACGUUGAAAAGUGCUUGGAUGACUUGUGGGUAGCGGAGAAAUUCCAAUCGAACUUGGAGAUAGCUGGUUCUCUCCGAAAUAGCUUUAGGGCUAGCGUCGAUGUUAAGUCUCUUGGAGGUAGAGCACUGUUUGAUUGAGGGGUCCAUCCCGGAUUACCAAUAUCAGAUAAACUCCGAAUGCCAAUGAGAUAUAAUCGGCAGUCAGACUGCGAGUGCUAAGAUCCGUAGUCGAAAGGGAAACAGCCCAGACCACCAGCUAAGGUCCCAAAAUAUAUGUUAAGUGGAAAAGGAUGUGGGGUUGCACAGACAACUAGGAUGUUAGCUUAGAAGCAGCUAUUCAUUCAAAGAGUGCGUAAUAGCUCACUAGUCGAGUGACCCUGCGCCGAAAAUGUACCGGGGCUAAAACAUAUUACCGAAGCUGUGGAUACCUAUUAUAGGUAUGGUAGGAGAGCGUUCUAUGUGUGAAGAAGGUGUACCGUGAGGAGCGCUGGAACGCAUAGAAGUGAGAAUGCCGGUAUGAGUAGCGAAAGACAGGUGAGAAUCCUGUCCACCGUAAGACUAAGGUUUCCAGGGGAAGGCUCGUCCGCCCUGGGUUAGUCGGGACCUAAGGAGAGACCGAAAGGUGUAUCCGAUGGCCAACAGGUUGAUAUUCCUGUACUAGAGUAUAUAGUGAAGGAGGGACGCAGUAGGCUAACUAAAGCGUGCGAUUGGAAGAGCACGUCUAAGCAGUGAGGUGUGAUAUGAGUCAAAUGCUUGUAUCUCUAACAUUGAGCUGUGAUGGGGAGCGAAGUUAAGUAGCGAAGUUAGUGAUGUCACACUGCCAAGAAAAGCUUCUAGCGUUAAUUAUACUCUACCCGUACCGCAAACCGACACAGGUAGUCGAGGCGAGUAGCCUCAGGUGAGCGAGAGAACUCUCGUUAAGGAACUCGGCAAAAUGGCCCCGUAACUUCGGGAGAAGGGGCGCUGGCUUUAAGUCAGCCGCAGUGAAUAGGCCCAAGCAACUGUUUAUCAAAAACACAGCUCUCUGCUAAAUCGUAAGAUGAUGUAUAGGGGGUGACGCCUGCCCGGUGCUGGAAGGUUAAGAGGAGCGCUUAGCGUAAGCGAAGGUGUGAAUUGAAGCCCCAGUAAACGGCGGCCGUAACUAUAACGGUCCUAAGGUAGCGAAAUUCCUUGUC
RNAcentral lists this ribosomal RNA (1946 nucleotides) under metagenome. RNAcentral describes it as "bacterial LSU rRNA". It matches the Rfam family "Bacterial large subunit ribosomal RNA", at positions 3 to 1973 of the family's 2925-position model. The record is from RNAcentral.